Molecule: ribosomal RNA, 399 nt
Filed under: uncultured bacterium
Lineage: Bacteria
Description: bacterial SSU rRNA
Rfam family: Bacterial small subunit ribosomal RNA
Source: RNAcentral
UGGGGAAUCUUGGGCAAUGGGCGCAAGCCUGACCCAGCCAUGCCGCGUGAGUGAUGAAGGCCUUAGGGUUGUAAAGCUCUUUCGCCGGUGAAGAUAAUGACGGUAACCGGAGAAGAAGCCCCGGCUAACUUCCUGCCAGCAGCCGCGGUAAUACGAAGGGGGCUAGCGUUGUUCGGAAUUACUGGGCGUAAAGCGCACGUAGGCGGAUCGUUAAGUCGGGGGUGAAAUCCCAGGGCUCAACCCUGGAACUGCCUCCGAUACUGGCGAUCUUGAGUCCGAGAGAGGUGAGUGGAAUUCCGAGUGUAGAGGUGAAAUUCGUAGAUAUUCGGAAGAACACCAGUGGCGAAGGCGGCUCACUGGCUCGGAACUGACGCUGAGGUGCGAAAGCGUGGGGAGCAA